This is a long non-coding RNA of Sinocyclocheilus grahami, 668 nucleotides long. RefSeq lists it as uncharacterized. The transcript has 3 exons. NCBI's taxonomy places the organism in Eukaryota, Metazoa, Chordata, Actinopteri, Cypriniformes, Cyprinidae. The record is from RefSeq and is a predicted model, not a curated record.
UGAGUGUGUGUUUGUUUGUGUUUGUGUGUGUGUCAUGAUAAACUCUGGCCAGAGUGUGAUGGAAAUUACAGAUAAAUGAAACUGAAGCUGUUUUGUUUGCUCACAUACUGCUACUUUUGUUUACCUGUGUUUUUGUCGGUAGGUGGAUCUGAAAACACAUUUAAAAGUACACACAAUUAUGACAUUCCUGAGUCCUAAAGUCAGAGGCAGAACUAUUAAGGCACAGCAGGGCAUGCAGCCAUAAUGUAAACCUGUUUUGUUUGUGCAAACUUUACAUAACUUUACUUAAGAUGGCACUGAAGGGAGUGGUCAGGUGAUAGAAUAAAUAUUUACGCUUCAAAUAUGCAUGACGUCAGUCCUCAAGGUACCAUUAAAGCAGUUUCAUUCACCUGAUUUGUUUAAUCAUUUGUGUACCAUUCCAGUCUGUAAUCACCUCAGGUGUUUUCGGUCAUGUGCGAUAAGCCGUAUAUUUGUUUUUGCAAGAGAUGCUCCGCAUAGAAAAUAUGGGCACAUCAGCUACAUCCUACGCCGUUCAUAGUUGUGUGUUACAGAGUAUCCUUUUGAAGGAGUCCAGCUUUAGAAACAAUGUUCCUUUAUUUAAAUUCAAUCAUUUGCUACUUUUUGAAACUGCUACAAUGUAAUUCUGCAUGAAAAAUUAAACGGGUGAU